This 254-nucleotide ribosomal RNA is filed under the name uncultured bacterium. Its description in RNAcentral is "partial 16S ribosomal RNA". It matches the Rfam family "Bacterial small subunit ribosomal RNA", at positions 524 to 776 of the family's 1533-position model. The record is from RNAcentral.
UACGUAGGGGGCGAGCGUUGUCCGGAUUCAUUGGGCGUAAAGAGCUCGUAGGCGGCUUGGUAAGUCGGGUGUGAAACCUCCAGGCUCAACCUGGAGACGCCACUCGAUACUGCCAUGGCUAGAGUCCGGUAGGGGCCCACGGAAUUCCGGGUGGAGUGGUGAAAUGCGUAGAGAUCCGGAGGAACACCAAAGGCGAAGGCAGUGUCCUGGGGAGUACCUGACGCUCAGGUGCGAAAGCCAGGGGAGCGAACGGG